UACGUAGGGGGCAAGCGUUGUCCGGAGUUACUGGGCGUAAAGCGUUCGUAGGUGGCUUGUUAAGUCAGACGUGAAAUCCCUCAGCUUAACUGGGAACUGCGUCUGAGACUGAUGAGCUUGAGUGCAGGAGAGGAACGCGGAAUUCCAGGUGUAGCGGUGAAAUGCGUAGAUAUCUGGAGGAACACCGGUGGCGAAGGCGGCGUUCUGGACUGCAACUGACACUGAGUGAACGAAAGCCAGGGGAG
This 245-nucleotide ribosomal RNA is filed under the name uncultured bacterium. RNAcentral describes it as "partial 16S ribosomal RNA". It matches the Rfam family "Bacterial small subunit ribosomal RNA", at positions 524 to 768 of the family's 1533-position model. The record is from RNAcentral.